GCCCAGACUCCUACGGGAGGCAGCAGUGAGGGAUAUUGGGCAAUGGGGGAAACCCUGACCCAGCGACGCCGCGUGAGGGAAGACGGUCUUCGGAUUGUAAACCUCUGUCUUUGGGGACGAAAAAGGACGGUACCCAAGGAGGAAGCUCCGGCUAACUACGUGCCGGCAGCCGCGGUAAUACGUAGGGAGCGAGCGUUGUCCGGAAUUACUGGGUGUAAAGGGAGCGUAGGCGGGGAUGCAAGUUGGGUGUCAAAACUACCGGCUCAACCGAUAGUCGCACUCAAAACUGCAGCUCUUGAGUGAAGUAGAGGCAGGCGGAAUUCCUAGUGUAGCGGUGAAAUGCGUAGAUAUUAGGAGGAACACCAGUGGCGAAGGCGGCCUGCUGGGCUUUUACUGACGCUGAGGCUCGAAAGUGUGGGGGGCAAACAGGAUUAGAUACCCCGGUAC
This 447-nucleotide ribosomal RNA is filed under the name uncultured bacterium. Its description in RNAcentral is "bacterial SSU rRNA". It matches the Rfam family "Bacterial small subunit ribosomal RNA", at positions 329 to 793 of the family's 1533-position model. The record is from RNAcentral.